GGUCAAGCGAACAAGUGCAUGUGGUGGAUGCCUUGGCGAUCACAGGCGAUGAAGGACGCGGUAGCCUGCGAAAAGCUUCGGGGAGCUGGCAAACAAGCUUUGAUCCGGAGAUGUCCGAAUGGGGAAACCCGGCCCUUAUGGGUCAUCCCUGACUGAAUACAUAGGUCAGGGAAGCGAACGCGGCGAACUGAAACAUCUAAGUAGCUGCAGGAACAGAAAUCAACCGAGAUUCCCAGAGUAGUGGCGAACGAAAUGGGAAGAGCCUUGUACUCUUUAGCAGCAUUGUUAGCAGAACGGGAUGGAAAGCCCGGCCAUAGCAGGUGAUAGCCCUGUAUGCGAAAACAGCGUUGUGGAACUAGGUGUACGACAAGUAGGGCGGGACACGUGAAAUCCUGUCUGAAGAUGGGGGGACCAUCCUCCAAGGCUAAAUACUCGUGAUCGACCGAUAGUGAACCAGUACCGUGAGGGAAAGGCGAAAAGAACCCCGGGAGGGGAGUGAAAUAGAUCCUGAAACCGCAUGCAUACAAACAGUCGGAGCCUGGAAACGGGUGACGGCGUACCUUUUGUAUAAUGGGUCAGCGACUUACAUUCAGUGGCAAGCUUAACCGAUUAGGGAAGGCGUAGCGAAAGCGAGUCCGAAUAGGGCGUUCAGUCGCUGGGUGUAGACCCGAAACCAGACGAUCUAUCCAUGGCCAGGUUGAAGGUGCGGUAACACGUACUGGAGGACCGAACCCACUAACGUUGAAAAGUUAGGGGAUGAGCUGUGGAUAGGGGUGAAAGGCUAAACAAGUCUGGAAAUAGCUGGUUCUCUCCGAAAACUAUUUAGGUAGUGCCUCGUGUCUCACCUUCGGGGGUAGAGCACUGUCAUGGUUGGGGGGUCUAUUGCUGAUUACCCCGCCAUAGCAAACUCCGAAUACCGAAGAGUGCAAUCACGGGAGACAGACAUCGGGUGCUAACGUCCGGUGUCAAGAGGGAAACAACCCAGACCGCCAGCUAAGGUCCCUAAGAUUGGCUAAGUGGGAAACGAAGUGGGAAGGCUAAAACAGUCAGGAGGUUGGCUUAGAAGCAGCCAUCCUUUAAAGAAAGCGUAAUAGCUCACUGAUCGAGUCGUCCUGCGCGGAAGAUGUAACGGGGCUAAGCCAGUCACCGAAGCUGCGGAUGCACGUAAGUGCAUGGUAGGAGAGCGUUCUGUAAGCCUGUGAAGGUGUCUUGUAAAGGAUGCUGGAGGUAUCAGAAGUGCGAAUGCUGACAUGAGUAGCGAUAAAGGGGGUGAAAAGCCCCCUCGCCGUAAGCCCAAGGUUUCCUACGCAACGUUCAUCGGCGUAGGGUGAGUCGGCCCCUAAGGCGAGGCAGAGAUGCGUAGCUGAUGGGAAGCAGGUUAAUAUUCCUGCACCGUCGUAUGAUGCGAUGGGGGGACGGAUCGCGGAAGGUUGUCCGGGUGUUGGAAGUCCCGGUCCCUGCAUUGGAGAAGGCGCUUAGGCAAAUCCGGGCGCGGAAUUCAAGGAUGUGGGGCGAGCGGCCUAGUGCUGCGAAGCAAUUGGAAGUGGUUCCAAGAAAAGCCUCUAAGCUUCAGUCAUACGAGACCGUACCGCAAACCGACACAGGUGGGCGAGAUGAGUAUUCUAAGGCGCUUGAGAGAACUCGGGAGAAGGAACUCGGCAAAUUGGUACCGUAACUUCGGGAUAAGGUACGCCCUUGUAGCUUGACUGGCCUGCGCCAGGAGGGUGAAGGGGUUGCAAUAAAAUGGUGGCUGCGACUGUUUAAUAAAAACACAGCACUCUGCAAACACGAAAGUGGACGUAUAGGGUGUGACGCCUGCCCGGUGCCGGAAGAUUAAAUGAUGGGGUGCAAGCUCUUGAUUGAAGUCCCGGUAAACGGCGGCCGUAACUAUAACGGUCCUAAGGUAGCGAAAUUCCUUGUCGGGUAAGUUCCGACCUGCACGAAUGGCGUAACGAUGGCCACACUGUCUCCUCCCGAGACUCAGCGAAGUUGAAGUGUUUGUGAUGAUGCAAUCUCCCCGCGGCUAGACGGAAAGACCCCAUGAACCUUUACUGUAGCUUUGCAUUGGACUUUGAACCGAUCUGUGUAGGAUAGGUGGGAGGCUUUGAAGCGUGGACGCUAGUCUGCGUGGAGCCGUCCUUGAAAUACCACCCUGGUUUGUUUGAGGUUCUAACCUUGGUCCGUGAAUCCGGAUCGGGGACAGUGCAUGGUAGGCAGUUUGACUGGGGCGGUCUCCUCCCAAAGUGUAACGGAGGAGUUCGAAGGUACGCUUGGUACGGUCGGACAUCGUACCUAAAGUGCAAUGGCAAAAGCGUGCUUAACUGCGAGACCGACAAGUCGAGCAGGUGCGAAAGCAGGACAUAGUGAUCCGGUGGUUCUGAAUGGAAGGGCCAUCGCUCAACGGAUAAAAGGUACUCUGGGGAUAACAGGCUGAUACCGCCCAAGAGUUCAUAUCGACGGCGGUGUUUGGCACCUCGAUGUCGGCUCAUCUCAUCCUGGGGCUGUAGCCGGUCCCAAGGGUAUGGCUGUUCGCCAUUUAAAGAGGUACGUGAGCUGGGUUUAAAACGUCGUGAGACAGUUUGGUCCCUAUCUGCCGUGGGCGUUGGAAUCUUGACGGGGGCUGCUCCUAGUACGAGAGGACCGGAGUGGACGUACCGCUGGUGUACCUGUUGUCUCGCCAGAGGCAUCGCAGGGUAGCUAUGUACGGAAGAGAUAACCGCUGAAAGCAUCUAAGCGGGAAACUCGCCUGAAGAUGAGGAUUCCCUGGAGCCUUGAGCUCCUUGAAGGGUCGUUCGAGACCAGGACGUUGAUAGGCUGGGUGUGGAAGCGCAGUAAUGCGUUAAGCUAACCAGUACUAAUUGCCCGUAAGGCUUGAUCCU
Ribosomal RNA from Cupriavidus basilensis, 2879 nucleotides. It matches the Rfam family "Bacterial large subunit ribosomal RNA". NCBI's taxonomy places the organism in Bacteria, Pseudomonadati, Pseudomonadota, Betaproteobacteria, Burkholderiales, Burkholderiaceae. The record is from Rfam.